This 8548-nucleotide long non-coding RNA is filed under the name Homo sapiens (human). Its description in RNAcentral is "HSALNT0137547". Lineage: Eukaryota; Metazoa; Chordata; Mammalia; Primates; Hominidae. The record is from RNAcentral.
CUGUUGUAUUUUGUUAACAGUGACAAUGACAAGCACUAACAGGAUGCUCCCGCUGUGAUUGAGAAUGUGACGCAGGUCAUUCCCCAUAAUAAUUAGCUCACAGGCAGAGUUUCCAGGCGCUUCCAGGAGCAUCAAUCACCGGGAUGAAUGGGAAGCCCGUGUGUGGGAACUGCAGGGGGAGCUGGGUGCAGAGCCACCUCAGCCCUGUCACCCUGCGCGUGUCUCUGCCAUGCUUCCUUGGAUCCCUAUCUACCCCGUUUUGGGUGACAGGACGAGUUGGGCCAGUUACCAGGAUCUUGUCGCCUGGUUCUGAUGGUGUCUUGGUUCCCGGCUGGGGUUUUGUGUUUACCACGAGCGUUGCCUGCUGUCGGGGAGCUGCGUGUGUUUCACAACAAACAGGGAGCCAGGGAGACCACCCUGCGGGGCUGCCCCUUCCCUCAGCGCUUUCUGCUUGGGUCGCUGGCGUCUUGCAGUGCCUUCGUUCGUCUGUGGUGUGAGGUGCUGGUCCAGGCUUACGCGCUAACAGUGAAUUAGAAGGAGAAAACGCUCUGCGAGUGCAGCGGAAGGUCAAUAUGGAGCCUGGUUUGCUUUUAGAAUCUUCCCAAGGCCGAUGGGCUUCCUCUUCCCUCCUGACCAGAGGCUUUGAUGCCCCUGCCCUGGGCUGCCUGGUUCCUGCCCCGAGUCUUCAGAAAGAUCCCCGGGCCUGGAGACUGUGAGUUCAGGUUCAGAUGCCUUGCGUGGCCUGUGAAUCCUGGGUCUGGUCUCUGUCCCCAGGCCGGUGUUCAGGGACCACCUUGAGCACCAAAGGCAGCCCAGUCCGGCUUUGACUCAGCUCCCAGGGCGGAGUCCCUUGCCCAGCACUGGGCAGGAGGAGGGCAUCCUCAGGGCAAGGUCUGCCAUCAGCAGACCAGAGCCAGAGCCCGCAGCCCCUGAGCACUUUCAGAUUCCUGCAGCGCAGAGAGGUUUUCCGGGAGGGAAGGGAGGACCCUGUGGCUGGAGAAAUCCCGCCGCGAACACCCAGCGACCAGGUCUACAGCAGCACCAGGUCUGUGCUUCCCCCUGGUGGUCACAGAUUUUACUACACGCGGCCCACAAGUAAAAUGAGUUUCUCUUCAGUGGCCCGGUUAUCUUCUGUCGUGUAGGAGGAAGUCCAGAGCCACGGAAAUUCGGUAAGGAUCGGAUAAGGGCAAUAAAAUCGCAGCUCUAAAUCUUUUCAUGGAGUUGAAGACAGACGUUUGACUGUGGGAGCCAUCUCAUCUUUAUAACCUGGUAAACAAUGCCAGAAUAAAAACAACAAAUUCAAUGUAUUUAAGUCGGUUUCGACAGUGAGGAAUUAAAAUUAAAUUUAUUUAAACUAUUUUGACUUUUACCCAAGUUUUUCUUACAGUUCCAUCUCAUUUUUCCCUCCUUACAUAGUUUGGGGAGUAGAGAACAGUCUAUUUUUGACUCCUGUGUAACUGACAUGGACACAGAGGCCUGCGGUCCCUUGGAGGAUUAGUGGCCCACGCAGGUGUGCAGACCACGGGUCCCUCAAUCAGAAGCGGGAUGUGUGGCAGGGAGCUUUGGAGAGCUUUCAUUUUGGAUUAGUGAUUUCCUGUCGACUUUUCCUCGUUUUUGUCACAGCACACUCGGAACAUUUCUCAUCAGCUGUGUACACUAUGUCAGGCAUUUCAAAUAUGUUUCUGGAAGUUGUCAGUGCUGUUCUCUAUGAGGCCUGAAGGAAAAAUUCAAUGUUUGUAGUAAAUAAAGUACAAAAAUUAUAUCAGCUAUUAAGAGGAUGGAUUAUUUCCAAGUUGCUUAGCCAUAUUGGUUGAGCGUUGAAUGCAGCAAUGAUGCCAACAUAUUAAGCACAAGAAUCUUGUAUUCCUGGAUACUGGAAAUUCCCUAGAAGAUGGUGGCGCAGGGUCAGCUGGGUGGGGAUGUCAAGGGAUGUACAGUGGACUUCAAGAAGGAGUUUAUGGAGAUGCAAGAGAAGGUUCUGAAAACUUUGCUAGGAUGGACCCUUUGUUGAAUUAGUUCUCAGGGAGGCUGAUUUGGAGGAGACAGGUGGCAUCGGAAGCUAGAAAUAGUGUUCCACAAACAAUGAGCUUCCAGGGAAUAUUCAUGCCUAGAAUUGAAGACACAUGUGUAUGGGUUCUGUCUUCCCCUCUGUCUCAGUCUCUGUUUUGGGUGAAAUUGGGUCCCCACCCCAAAUUCACAUGUUGAAGUCCUAACCCCAGUACCUCAGAAUGUUUAUUGCAUUUGGAGAUGUUUUUACAAAGGUGAUUAAGUUGAAAUGAGGCUCUUAGGGUGGGCUGCAAUCCCACAUGACUGCAAUCCCACGUGUCCUUAUAUGGAGAGGAGAUAAGGACACAGACACACACAGAGGGGGAAAGAUCAUAUGAAGACCCAAAGAGAGAGGCCACAGAAGAAACAACCCUGCUGAUGUCUUGAUUUUGGGUAUCUAGCCUCCAAAAUUGGAGAAUAUAUAUUUCUGUUGUUUAAGCCACCUGAUCUGUGGAGCUUUGUUACAGUAGCCCUAGCUGACGAAUCCAGUGUCCUUUUGAGUUUAAGGAGCAUGACUGGAUGACCCAUCCAUUCAGUAUCAGCACCAACCAAGUAGAAACCAUCAAAGGAAGUGGACGCAGUGGCUCAGGCCUCUAAUCCCAGCACUUUGGGAGACCAAGGUGGGAGGAUCACUUGAGCCCAGGAGUUUGAGACCAGCUUGGGCAACAUAGGGAGACCCUGUCUCUAAAAAAAUUAAAAAAUUAGCUGGGUGUGGUGGCAUGUGCCUGUUGUCUCAGCUACUUGGGAGGCUGAGGUGGGAGAAUUGCUUGAACCUAGGAGGUCGAGGUUGCAGUGAGCCAAGAUCACUGCCACUGCACUCCAACCUGGGCCACAGAGUGAGAUCCUGCCUCAAAAAACAAAAACAGGCUGGGGGCAAUGGCUCAUGCCUGUAAUCCCAGCACUUUGGGAGGCUGAGGCAGACGGUUGAUUGAGCCCAGGAGUUAGAGACAAGGCUGGGCAAGAUGGCAAAACCCCGUCUCUACCAAAAAUACACACACACAAAAAUUAGCUGGAUGUGGUGGGGUGUGCCUGUAGUCUCAGCUACUCAGGACGCUGAGAUGGGAGGAUGUUUUGAGCCUGGAAGGUGGAGGUUGCAGUGAACCCAGAUUGCAUCAUUGCACGCCAGCCUGGGUGACAGAGUCAGAUCCUGUCUCAAGAAAACAAAAAACAAACAACAAACCCAAACCCCAAACCAACCAAACAAACAAAUAAAAACAACCAAAAAACCCAUCUGAUAUGGUUUGGCUCUGUAUCCCCACCCAAAUCUCAUCUUAAAUUGUAAUCCCCGUGUGUCGGGGGAGGGACCGGGUGGGAGGUGAUUGGAUCCUGGGGGCGGACUUUCCCCUUUCUGUUCCAUGAUAGUGAGUGAGUUCUCAUGAGAUCUGGUAGUUUGAACGUGUGUGGCAGUUUCCUCUUUGCUUUUCCUCUCUCUCCGGUCUGCCGUGUGAGAUGUGCUUGCUUCCGCCUCACCUUCCACCUUGAUUGUAAGUUUCCUGAGGCCGCCCAGUCAUGCUCGCUGUUAAGCCUGUGGAACAGUGAGUCAGUUAAACCUCUUCUUCAUAAAUUACCCUGUCCCAGAUAGUUCUUUAUAGCAGUGUGAAAAUGGACUAAUACACCAUUAAAGUCCACUCUGUAAGGAACCAAAAAUCUUAAAAAACAGAAAAGUGACUUGUGUGAAUGGCAUCCAGUAUCUUUUACUAGACAAGAUAUAUUAGCAUGAUUUCUAGAGAAAAGCCCAAAUACAUGUCUGAAAUAUCUAUACCACAGUUAUGACUGACUAUAAAUCUUCCCCCCGCCCCCAGUUUUGUGGUGUCCUAAAAAGGAAUCCAAAUAGUUUGGAAAAUAUCCUCAAGUCUAAAUGAAUCACGCAGCCAAGUUUUAUGAAACCAACCUACAAAGUUAUCGAUUGCUACAAGAAAGAAGAUAUUCACUUGUUACUCCUAGUUUUGUUUUAGCUCUUCUGAGAUAUCUGGGGUUUAGCUUACGGAUUGCAUGAUUUGAUGAAACUCUGCACAACAGUUAGCGAGGAAAGGAACUUUAGCUCUGAGGACUUAGGGUCCAGCCAAUGGUCUGGGUACUGCGGCAUAUCUUUCACUCAUGGUGGUGGUGAAGUUAACACUGAUGAUUAAGCUAACCUCUACCAAGCACUUCCUUCCCAUGGGCUCUAAAUUCAGUGCUUGACAUAUUUCAUUUAUGUUUCACAGAAAUGCUAGGACCUGAGACAUGGUAUAAGGGAGUGGUUCAGUUUUGGUGACACUCAGCUAUGUGACCUUGAGCAAAUUGCUUCACUCUCUGUGCCUUGGUCUUCUCAUUUGUAAAAGGUUGUUGGUAAUGCAGGUGGGGCGCUUGAAGCAGUGCCUGGCACUGACGAAGGUUUUCGUGAGUGUUGGCCACUAGUAUUUUUCUUCACACCCUCAGCUGAGGAAAUGAAGGGCACUGGAGGUGUUAAGCCAUGUGUGUAACCACUUCUAUGCCAUCACGAGGGGGGAAUCUGGCAGCACAAGAGGCUGCAUCACUGAGGCUCUGCACCGCCUCCCAGUUGGGCUUGCUAUCCUUGCAGGUACUUGUCUCCUUAUUCCUGCUGAGAUGCACGAAGGUGACUUUAAUAUGCAUGGCCCGGCUGGGUGCGGUGGCUCAUGCCUGUAAUCCCAGCACUUUGGGAGGCUGAGGCAGGUGGAUCACCUAAGGUCAGGAGUUCAAGACAGCCUGACCAAUAUGGUGAAACCUUGUUUCUACUAAAAAUACAAAAAUUAACUGGGCAUGGCAGCAGGUGCCUGUAAUCCCAGCUACUCGGGAAGCUGAGGCAGGAGAAUUGCUUGAGCCCAGGAGAUGGAGGUUGCAGUGAGUCGCGAUUGCGCCACUGCACUCCAGCCUAGGUGACAGAGCAAGACUCUGUCUCAAAAAAAAAAAAAAAUGUGUGGCCCCUGCUCUUUUACCCCCGGUACUUCAGUGUGUCUUCUCCAAAAACAAGAUCAUUCUCCUCUAUAAUGAUAAAAUCAGGAAAUUGAUGCAUUUAAUCUAUAGAUCUUAUUUGAAUUGUAUUAACUGUUUCUCUUAUGUACUUUUUAGGAAAAGAAAAUGGUUCUUUUCCUGGUCCAGGAGCCAAUAUCCAACCUGGGGUUUCACAUUUCAUUUUGCUGUCAUGUCUCUCUGUCUUUCUUCUGUCUGGAACAGUUCAUCAGCCUUUUUGUUUUUAACUUUUAUGACCUUGACUUUUAGAGUACAGGACAUUUACUUUGUGGACUGCCAUUCAAUUUGACAACAGAUUUGUUUUUAAUGUGCACUUUCUGGAAACAAGAUAUUGUUCCUCAAAGAAAUGAAAAAAAUGUUGGGAAUACAUAAGACAUCAUAACAGACACCAGCCUGAGUCGAAGCUGUUAAAGAGGCCAAGAAUUCCCAAGCUUUCCCAGGCAAACGGGGAAGAACACUGGGAUGCCUUUUCCUCCUCCUCUGUCCAUCUGCAGGCCAAGUGUGCAUCAGUCACAGGCAAACUCUGAAUUGAGCUUUGUGCAAGUCUCUGGAAAGAGACCCAAGAUCGUGUGAUGAGCAAAAGUGACAGUGCUGGAGGCAGCGACAUCUGCAGAGCCAGCCCCAUCCCUAUCUGCAGCAGAAUAUGUAUGGGGAUCCUUUAUGUGAACAAUCCACCCAGGGUAGAAUGGGGCUUUUGACAUCAGCUGAGACCCAGGCGGCCUUACAAUGAGAGGGCUGUUGGUCAAAGGAAGGACUGUUUAAUGAACUGAGAAUCUGAGGCCAGCUCUGGCCAUCUGCACUUGGAAUCAUUAGAGCAACUCUACUGUAACUGGCAACCUUGAAUAAUGCAGCAAAUUCAUAUUCCAAAAUUGUGAACUUUAAAAUUUUGUGUUUGUGUCUAUGAUGAAAAGCAUUAUAUAAACAUUUGAUACUACAAUUUUAUUAGUAAGGAAGGCUGAAAAAGUAUCUCUCUUUUGACUCUGAGGUCAAUAAUGAUAAUGGCUUUUCCCCUACACUGGGAUAGAAAUGUUCUGUCAAGGAUAUGAAAACACUUUAUGAAAAUGAAAUUCAUUAAAGCCCUUAAUAAUCAGGUAGGGAAGGCAGGUGCUCACAAUUGUCACCUGUUGGUGAGUGAACACCUUAGGCUCGGGGAGGACAAUGACUCAAGAACAAGGUCGAAUUGCAGGUGGGGGGUGAAGCUGAUCCCUAACAGUGUCCUCCAGCCCCUGGCACUGAGGAAGGACAUGGAGGGCUUGCAUCGACUUUUCCUGGCAGGCUUGUGAUUCCCAGCCAGAAUGCAGGUGGCAAUGUUGUGAUUCCUGGCGUAACCUUCAAUGCUUCAAUGAUAAUCUCUGCUGGUGCCAGGCACCAGCUGAGUGUCACUGUGCAGCUCCCAGGCUUAAGUGAUGCAUGCCGAGGUUUUCAGAGCAGUCUCUCAUUUAUUAGUUGUGUUGGAAAGAAAUCUGUACUACCUAACUGGGUACCUCUGGAUUUUAACAGCUGUGGUUUAUAAGAGAUAUGAGAGGGGGUUUGUUUUCAAAGUGCCUUUCACAAAGUAACACCUUAGACUGUAGUUUACAUUCCAUUCCAGUAGGAUAACUUGCAACACUUCUGUGCUCAGAAAUCCAACUGUGCAAGAAAAGUCAGGUUAUAUUUUCAUACAGCCCGUUCUGGCAAAUAUGCCUUCACACCACUUUCCCUCCUCCUCACCGCUAUUGGCAAUAGUCCCAAUGGAAGAGUUUUAUGUCAAAUGCUGAGUAUCUUGGAAGCUGUCCUGCACAGACACGACUGCUUGGCUGCGUGUUGGAGAGUCGCGGUUGGACUGGGAGACCAGGAAGGUCCCUUCUGGUCUGAGAUGUGAUGACUCUAGAACUAAUUAGUUUCAACUCAUAACACGAAAUGAUACUAGCUACCAUUUGGUGGGCUUUUUCUGUGUUCCAGGCUCUGUGCUAAGAUCUUAGCAUUACUCUAAUUACAAAAUCCCUGCCAAUAUUAUCCUCAGUUUACGCAAGAACAAAUGGGUUUAGGGAAAUCAAAAACUUGUCCAAUGACACAGAUUUAAGAUUUAGCAACUGAUGGCCACGUGGAAAUGGAUUACAGAUUAUUCUAAUUGGACACUCUAAACGUGCAAUUUAACCAGAAUGAAAUUUAGGGCUGCGUGCUGUGGCUCAUGCCUGUAAUCCUAGCACUUUGGGAAGCCAGGUGUAUCCCUUAAGCCCAGGAGUUUGAGAGCAACUUGGGCAACAUGGUGAAACCUGUAUCUACAAAAAAUACAAAAAUUAGCCAGGUGAGGUGGUGUAUGCCUGUAGUUCCAGCUACUUGGGAGGCUGAGAGAUGGGAGGAUUGGUUGAGCCUAGGAGGUCGAGGCUGCUGUGAGCUGUGAUGGUUCCACUGCACUCCAGCCUGGGCGACAGAGACAGACUCCAUCUCAAAAAAAAAAAAAAAAAAAGUAGCUACCUUGUGGUUGCACUCGUCUGAGACUAGCUCAUGGCUCCAGCUCUCAGGGUGGUGAGUAAUGAUUCUGUGGUCAGACGCAGUUUUGAAGUCAGGCAAGAAAACCUUCAACAAGAGUUAGAGAUGUCCUGUCUAUGAAUUUCUCCUCUAGGCUUAGGGAUAGCCCUGGGAUUCAUGUCAUGCCAGUUAGGGAUCCACUCAUUGUAAGCAAUACAAGUGCCCCCGAAGAGACAGUGCAUUAAUUGUCACCCCUUAGGAGCAUUGUGUGAAUUAGUGUGAUUUAGCACAUGCCCAGAGGGAUGAAACUCUAGCUCCAUAGGGUAGGUCCUGAUUACUCCUGGAGCAGGCAGCCAGCUCAGCUCAUGGGGAGCUCUGAGAAGUCUCUCAAUGCCUCGCAUGCAGCCCCUGCUCAGGAGUCAUGUGUCACUUCACAGUCUUGCUUUCCAGUGGGUCAAAGCAUGAUGUUUAUGAGAAACAAAUACACAAAAUUCUGACUUGUGUGAAUACAGAACACGUGCAAUAAAACGACUGCAAUCUAUUUUUAAAAUGUGGUCUGAGAAGUCAGGUUUAAUAUGACUAUGUAAUAUAUAAACAAUAUAUUUUCCACAGAAAGGAAAAUAUAAAUAAUAAAAUAUGUCUAUUUCUUUUUUUUGGUGGAAAAUUACUCCCACAAUUUGGUCCCAAGGGGGUCUUAAUUUGUCAUCAGGUCUGUGGCUAAAUGUCUUAUAAAGGAAUGCUUCUUUCUUUCGAGAAGUGUACAGGAACAGUCUGCACUGACUGCUUUUACCUGUAAAUGUUUUGAGAAUUCAGAAGUCACUUUCCUUCCACAAUAGGUGCUAGGCAUUUUAUUUAAAUAAAGCAAAAACAUUUCUGUCAUAAAGAAGGUGUUAAUAACCUCAAAGCUAUGCGAAAUAUACUAGUACAAUCUAAUACUCAUGGUGAAAAAUACAGUAAUUAAGAGCAAUUCAAGUUUUUUUGUUUUGGUUUAACUUCAGAAUUAAAAUAAACUCAGAAUUAAAAAAAUAAAAAAUGGUUUUAUUACAUGUCAGAGUAUUGAGAUACAAAAUAUAUACCAGAU